Molecule: ribosomal RNA, 492 nt
Filed under: uncultured bacterium
Lineage: Bacteria
Description: bacterial SSU rRNA
Rfam family: Bacterial small subunit ribosomal RNA
Source: RNAcentral
GAUGAACGUUGGCGGCGUGCCUAAUACAUGCAAGUCGAACGAAGACUGUAGUAAUACUGUCUUAGUGGCGAACGGGUGAGUAACGCGUGGGUGACCUGCCCCGAAGUGUGGGAUAACAGUCCGAAAGGAUUGCUAAUACUGCAUAAUAUCCAAGAGAUUAGAUGCUUUUGGAUUAAAGGAGUAAUUCGCUUCGGGAGGGCCCGCGUCCCAUCAGCUAGUUGGUAAGGUAAUGGCUUACCAAGGCGAUGACGGGUAGGGGACCUGAGAGGGUGGCCCCCCACAAUGGAACUGAAACACGGUCCAUACACCUACGGGUGGCAGCAGUAGGGAAUAUUAGUAAUGGGCGAAAGCCUGAACUAGCAACGCCGCGUGUGCGAAGAAGGCCUUCGGGUCGUAAAGGCAACUUUUUCGAGAGGAUGAGGAAGGACGGGUACUCUCAGAAUAAGUCUCGGCUAACUACGUGCCCAGCAGCCGCGGUAACUCACGAGAGUA